GCAUCGAUGAAGAACGCAGCGAAACGCGAUAGAUAAUGUGAAUUGCAGAAUUCCGUGAAUCAUCGAAUCUUUGAACGCACCUUGCGCUCCAUGGCAUUCCGUGGAGCAUGCCUGUUUGAGUGCCGCGAAAUCUCCCACCCCUAGCGGUUGCCGCAAGGCGCCGCCGGGCGGCGGGGUUGGUUGGGUGCCGCUGCCUGGGCUUUGGCCCAGGCUCGCCCGAAAUGCAUGAGCGCUUAGCACUCGCACCGUCUCGAGGGAAGGCGGCGGAGCUGGCAUCUGCGCAUGGCAUGAUAUGUCAUUUGCUGUGUGGCAGCCCAGCGACCCGAGAGUGUGUGUGCGCUACUACACGCCCUUUCAUUUCUGGUCUCAAAUCAGGUAGGAUCACCCGCUGAACUUAAGCAUAUCAAUAAGCGGAGGAA
This 419-nucleotide ribosomal RNA is filed under the name uncultured fungus. Its description in RNAcentral is "eukaryotic LSU rRNA". The stretch from base 1 to 125 matches the Rfam family "5.8S ribosomal RNA", at positions 30 to 154 of the family's 154-position model. The record is from RNAcentral. Lineage: Eukaryota; Fungi.